RNAcentral lists this ribosomal RNA (425 nucleotides) under uncultured bacterium. RNAcentral's name for it is "bacterial SSU rRNA". It matches the Rfam family "Bacterial small subunit ribosomal RNA", at positions 354 to 776 of the family's 1533-position model. The record is from RNAcentral.
GUGAGGAAUAUUGGUCAAUGGGCGCGAGCCUGAACCAGCCAAGUAGCGUGAAGGAUGACUGCCCUACGGGUUGUAAACUUCUUUUAUAUGGGAAUAAAAUGUUUCACGUGUGGGAUUUUGUAUGUACCAUAUGAAUAAGGAUCGGCUAACUCCGUGCCAGCAGCCGCGGUAAUACGGAGGAUCCGAGCGUUAUCCGGAUUUAUUGGGUUUAAAGGGAGCGUAGAUGGGUUGUUAAGUCAGUUGUGAAAGUUUGCGGCUCAACCGUAAAAUUGCAAUUGAUACUGGCAGUCUUGAGUACAGUUGAGGUAGGCGGAAUUCGUGGUGUAGCGGUGAAAUGCUUAGAUAUCACGAAGAACUCCGAUUGCGAAGGCAGCUUACUAAACUGCCACUGACAUUGAUGCUCGAAAGUGUGGGUAUCAAACAGG